UGGGGAAUCUUGCGCAAUGCGCGAAAGCGUGACGCAGCAACGCCGCGUGGGGGAAGAAGGCCUUCGGGUUGUAAACCCCUUUCAGUUGGGACGAAGCUUCGCCGGUUAAUAGCCGGCCGGAGUGACGGUACCUUCAGAAGAAGCCCCGGCUAACUACGUGCCAGCAGCCGCGGUAAUACGUAGGGGGCAAGCGUUGUCCGGAAUCAUUGGGCGUAAAGCGCGUGUAGGCGGUCCGGUAAGUCCGCUGUGAAAGUCGGGGGCUCAACCCUCGGAUGCCGGUGGAUACUGUCGGGCUUGAGUACGGAAGAGGCGAGUGGAAUUCCUGGUGUAGCGGUGAAAUGCGCAGAUAUCAGGAGGAACACCAAUUGCGAAGGCAGCUCGCUGGGACGUUACUGACGCUGAGACGCGAAAGCGUGGGGAGCAAACA
Molecule: ribosomal RNA, 427 nt
Filed under: uncultured Solirubrobacter sp.
Lineage: Bacteria; Bacillati; Actinomycetota; Thermoleophilia; Solirubrobacterales; Solirubrobacteraceae
Description: bacterial SSU rRNA
Rfam family: Bacterial small subunit ribosomal RNA
Source: RNAcentral